GUGAUAUCUGAGUUGUAUAACUCUUCCUGGAUUUGCUCUGAUUUAUUAACUUUCUGUUUCCUCUAGGACUUCAAAUCAGCAGAGGAUAUUCAAAUCACAAAAACAUUUACCCAUGAACAAAUUUUGAACUCAUUGCAACAAAAAUGUAUAUGUAGAAAAUGAAGCCUUUGGAUAAUAUCCAGAAAAGGACACUUGGAAUUUCACAGUGAAGCUGAUCUGUGAGACAGACUUGUAAGAAACAGCAUGAGUGGGUCCUUCUUCGGAGGAACAGUGAUUUUCCAGAAAGAGGGGGAGUGUGCUCCUCUCUUUUCUUUUCAGAGCAGAGGCAGAGAGGUGUGGCCUCAAAGUCAGGUGUCUGGCUAGCAGGAGGGUGGCCAACACCCAGCUGCAAAUGUGGGAGCGCCCCUCGGCGUCAGAAGGCUUCGGGCUGUGCUCACUGCAGACGGAAUCGCUGCUGGCCGACCAGAGUAAAGAGUCCGGACACUCACUGGGGACUUGUCAGAUUUAUUGUCAACCAGGGAGUGACAGACACCCACGCGUUGAAUCUAACGUAUCUGCCAGCGAGUGACCAAGAACUAAAGGUGCAACAGGGUUAUAGAGGGGAGGAGGGAUCUCAGGGAGGGGUUUACAAAGGACCAAUAGGGGAAGGUAGGGGAGUGGACUUAACAUAAUAGGCACUGGGGAGAAACCAAUAGUUGCAUUAUAAGGGAGGGGCCCCGGAGCCACAGCCAAUCAAGUCUCCCUAAGCACAGAAGAUUCUGGCAAACUAGGAGGAGUGGGAAGUGAUUGACUGGGCCCACGGAGAACAAUUUCACAUAUAAGGAAACCCAGGGGAGGGGAAAUUAUAUAACAGAGAGGAUUGACAUAAACUGAGGCGGGAGUAACCAAGGUAACCAAAUGACAGACAAUACAAUGGCGGGAAAAACUGGUGAGGGCAGAACCUUUACAGAAAAUGGGGGGAACAAUACAGAAAAUAGGGGAGCAAUUAAACAAACUAACAGAACACACUACAACAAGCAGAGACCCAGGAUCAAACUAAUGUGAACCUGUAAUUGAAAAUCUUGGU
RNAcentral lists this long non-coding RNA (1066 nucleotides) under Zonotrichia albicollis (white-throated sparrow). RNAcentral describes it as "lncRNA (ENSZALG00000010578.1)". Lineage: Eukaryota; Metazoa; Chordata; Aves; Passeriformes; Passerellidae. The record is from RNAcentral.